CCUACGGGAGGCAGCAGUGGGGAAUCUUGCGCAAUGGGCGAAAGCCUGACGCAGCCAUGCCGCGUGAAUGAUGAAGGUCUUAGGAUUGUAAAAUUCUUUCACCGGGGACGAUAAUGACGGUACCCGGAGAAGAAGCCCCGGCUAACUUCGUGCCAGCAGCCGCGGUAAUACGAAGGGGGCUAGCGUUGCUCGGAAUUACUGGGCGUAAAGGGAGCGUAGGCGGAUAGUUUAGUCAGAGGUGAAAGCCCAGGGCUCAACCUUGGAAUUGCCUUUGAUACUGGCUAUCUUGAGUACGGAAGAGGUAUGUGGAACUCCGAGUGUAGAGGUGAAAUUCGUAGAUAUUCGGAAGAACACCAGUGGCGAAGGCGACAUACUGGUCCGUUACUGACGCUGAGGCUCGAAAGCGUGGGGAGCAAACAGGAUUAGAUACCCUGGUAGUCCACGCUGUAAACGAUGAGUGCUAGUUGUCGGCAUGCAUGCAUGUCGGUGACGCAGCUACGCAUUAAGUACACCUCCGCCGUCGGGGUAGGUACGGGUCGGCGAAGAAUUAAAACUUAACAAAUAGAAGUUAGUACGGCGUGAGACGUCGCCGACGGACGACGACGAGGGAGGUUAGG
RNAcentral lists this ribosomal RNA (617 nucleotides) under uncultured bacterium. RNAcentral describes it as "bacterial SSU rRNA". The stretch from base 1 to 516 matches the Rfam family "Bacterial small subunit ribosomal RNA", at positions 338 to 873 of the family's 1533-position model. The record is from RNAcentral.